This 436-nucleotide ribosomal RNA is filed under the name uncultured marine bacterium. RNAcentral describes it as "bacterial SSU rRNA". It matches the Rfam family "Bacterial small subunit ribosomal RNA", at positions 61 to 543 of the family's 1533-position model. The record is from RNAcentral.
GUCGAGCGAGACCUUCGGGUUUAGCGGCGGACGGGUGAGUAACGCGUGGGAACGUGCCCUUUUCUGCGGGAUAGCCACUGGAAACGGUGAGUAAUACCGCAUACGCCCUUUGGGGGAAAGAUUUAUCGGAGAAGGAUCGGCCCGCGUCUGAUUAGGUAGUUGGUGGGGUAAUGGCCUACCAAGCCUACGAUCAGUAGCUGGUUUUAGAGGAUGAUCAGCCACACUGGGACUGAGACACGGCCCAGACUCCUACGGGAGGCAGCAGUGGGGAAUCUUAGACAAUGGGCGCAAGCCUGAUCUAGCCAUGCCGCGUGAGUGAUGAAGGCCUUAGGGUCGUAAAGCUCUUUCGCCAGGGAUGAUAAUGACAGUACCUGGUAAAGAAACCCCGGCUAACUCCGUGCCAGCAGCCGCGGUAAUACNGAGGGGGUUAGCGUUG